CCUACGGGUGGCAGCAGUGAGGAAUAUUGGUCAAUGGACGAGAGUCUGAACCAGCCAAGUAGCGUGAAGGAUGACUGCCCUAUGGGUUGUAAACUUCUUUUAUAUGGGAGUAAAAUGUUCCACGUGUGGGAUUUUGUAUGUACCAUAUGAAUAAGGAUCGGCUAACUCCGUGCCAGCAGCCGCGGUAAGACGGAGGAUCCGAGCGUUAUCCGGAUUUAUUGGGUUUAAAGGGAGCGUAGGUGGAUUGUUAAGUCAGUUGUGAAAGUUUGCGGCUCAACCGUAAAAUUGCAGUUGAAACUGGCAGUCUUGAGUACAGUAGAGGUGGGCGGAAUUCGUGGUGUAGCGGUGAAAUGCUUAGAUAUCACGAAGAACUCCGAUGGCGAAGGCAGUUCACUGGACUGCAACUGACACUGAGGCUCGAAAGUGUGGGUAUCAAACAGGAUUAGAUACCCUUGUAGUC
This 460-nucleotide ribosomal RNA is filed under the name uncultured bacterium. Its description in RNAcentral is "partial 16S ribosomal RNA". It matches the Rfam family "Bacterial small subunit ribosomal RNA", at positions 338 to 795 of the family's 1533-position model. The record is from RNAcentral.